AGGACCUAGAAUGUCAGAGCUAUAAGAAACCUCAAAGACCACCUAGUUCAGCUUUGUCAUUUUACAUUGAAAACUGUGGUUCAGAAAUGGGAAUUACUUGCUCAAGAAUGCAAAUUUCUCAAGAAAAGGAGCUCUGAGACUGAUGGUCAUUGAACAGGAAGGGAUUAAAAGUCAGAACCUUACUCAGGACAGAUUUUGAGAGGGUAAGGAGGGAAAUAAACUAUUAGGUGGCUGAAGUGAGCCAGGCCUAGUGUGCUGGGAUGAAGUGAAAUAACUUACCCAAAGUCACACAUCUUUUAAGUGGCAAAGUCAGAAUUGAAACCCAAGUCACUUACCUCUAAACCCAUACCUGCUUCCUUUACACCAGAUGACUUCCUCCGACUACGCACAUGGCCUCAGAGGGUUGCUACAACUGAAAAAUUCAUCACACUUCAGCCAACCUGCUGGUGAAUCCCUCUGCCCUCAAACAUCAACCCAGUCAUCAAGCCCAUACUGCUACUAUAAUCAAAGGAAUGCUAAAUCAGGCAUGAAACAUAUAGGGGAAGGC
This is a non-coding RNA of Phascolarctos cinereus (koala), 547 nucleotides long. Lineage: Eukaryota; Metazoa; Chordata; Mammalia; Diprotodontia; Phascolarctidae. The record is from RefSeq and is a predicted model, not a curated record.